This is a long non-coding RNA of Schistocerca gregaria, 443 nucleotides long. RefSeq lists it as uncharacterized. NCBI's taxonomy places the organism in Eukaryota, Metazoa, Arthropoda, Insecta, Orthoptera, Acrididae. The transcript is spliced from 3 exons. The record is from RefSeq and is a predicted model, not a curated record.
UCUGCGAUUUUUGUGACUUCUGCUACUUCUGCGAUUUCUGCUACUUGUGCGAUUUCUGUGACUUCUGCGACUUAUCACCGUAUGAAAAAGUUACAUCUGCCCACACAGAAAAUUGCAUCCCAACAAAUCUGUCAUUGGUACCUGAACUACAUUUCAGUCUCUCAGUAAAUCGAUAACUCAAAAUAUCAUUGUCAACAGAUCUGGAGAAAUUGCCACUGCGUCUUUAGACCGUUUUCGUCAGACGAGAGACACGGUUCUGACUCUUGAUUACUGGUUGCUGUACGUAUCUGUCCACAUGAAGGCUAUUGAGAGAGACUCGUGAAGAUUCAAGACAGCUCUUAGAGUAUUUGCAGUUUAAAAGUGACAUAAUUGUGAAAUAAGUGUGCAGAUGAGUGAUUAAACUGUGUUUUAUUGAAGUUGUUAUGCGAUUUUAAAGGAAUCAU